This 271-nucleotide unclassified non-coding RNA is filed under the name Hevea brasiliensis (rubber tree). The record is from RNAcentral. Lineage: Eukaryota; Viridiplantae; Streptophyta; Magnoliopsida; Malpighiales; Euphorbiaceae.
GAAAGACUUGAUUGUCUGCUGUCUAGCUUUUCUACCAACUGGUUGGGGCUUGAUAUUGGUUGGCCAAGUAGUGAGACCAAAGAUUGAAGGUACUGGAUUGUGGCACUUCACUCGAGUGUUUGCUCGAGCUUAUGACUAUGGAAUGGGUGUUGUUCUUUUCGCGCCUUUAGCUUCACUGGCUUGGCUUCCAAUAAUUUCAGCUUUCCAAACUCGGUUUCUGUUCAAUGAGGCUUUCAGUAGGAGGCUGCAAAUUCAGCCAAUUCUUGCAGGA